RNAcentral lists this unclassified non-coding RNA (378 nucleotides) under uncultured fungus. RNAcentral describes it as "partial contains small subunit ribosomal RNA, internal transcribed spacer 1, and 5.8S ribosomal RNA". The stretch from base 1 to 73 matches the Rfam family "Eukaryotic small subunit ribosomal RNA", at positions 1759 to 1831 of the family's 1831-position model. Lineage: Eukaryota; Fungi. The record is from RNAcentral.
CCAAACUUGGUCAUUUAGAGGAAGUAAAAGUCGUAACAAGGUUUCCGUAGGUGAACCUGCGGAAGGAUCAUUAACGAAUAUCUAUGGCGUUGGUUGUAGCUGGCUCCUAGGAGCAUCUUGUGCACACCCGUCAUUCAUGUCUCAUCUUUCCACCUGUGAACCAUGUGUAGGCCUGGAUACCUCUCGCUUUGGCAACAAAGCGGAUGCAAGGAUUGCUGCGUCGACAAGGCCGGCUCUCUUUGAAUUUCCAGGUUCUAUGUCUUUUACACACCCCAUUUGAAUGAUGUAGAAUGUAGUCAAUGGGCUUUCAUGCCUAUAAAACACUAUACAACUUUCAGCAACGGAUCUCUUGGCUCUCGCAUCGAUGAAGAACGCAGC